UACGUAGGGGGCAAGCGUUGUCCGGAAUUAUUGGGCGUAAAGUCGCGCGCAGGCGGUCCAUUAAGUCUGGUGUAUAAACCAAAGGCUCAACCUUUGGACGCAUUGGAAACUGGUGGACUGGAGUGUAGGAGAGGAAAGUGGAAUUCCACGUGUAGCGGUGAAAUGCGUAGAGAAUGUGGAGGAACACCAGUGGCGAAGGCGACUUUCUGGCCUAUAACUGACGCUGAGGCGCGAAAGCGUGGGGAGCAAACAGG
Molecule: ribosomal RNA, 254 nt
Filed under: uncultured bacterium
Lineage: Bacteria
Description: partial 16S ribosomal RNA
Rfam family: Bacterial small subunit ribosomal RNA
Source: RNAcentral